This 284-nucleotide ribosomal RNA is filed under the name uncultured bacterium. Its description in RNAcentral is "partial 16S ribosomal RNA". It matches the Rfam family "Bacterial small subunit ribosomal RNA", at positions 780 to 1057 of the family's 1533-position model. The record is from RNAcentral.
AGAUACCCGGGUAGUCCACGCCGUAAACGAUGUCUACUAGCUGUUGCCUUGCUAUUUUAUAGCAAGGUUGUGGCGUAGCUAACGCGAUAAGUAGACCGCCUGGGGAGUACGGCCGCAAGGUUAAAACUCAAAUGAAUUGACGGGGACCCGCACAAGCGGUGGAGCAUGUGGUUCAAUUCGAUGCAACGCGAAAAACCUUACCUGGCCUUGACAUCCUCGGAACCUCCCAGAGAUGGGGGGGUGCCUUCGGGAACCGAGAGACAGGUGUUGCAUGGCCGCCGUCA